RNAcentral lists this ribosomal RNA (415 nucleotides) under Bacillus sp. EB05. Its description in RNAcentral is "bacterial SSU rRNA". It matches the Rfam family "Bacterial small subunit ribosomal RNA", at positions 80 to 480 of the family's 1533-position model. The record is from RNAcentral. Lineage: Bacteria; Bacillati; Bacillota; Bacilli; Caryophanales; Bacillaceae.
GCUCUUAUGAAGUUAGCGGCGGACGGGUGAGUAACACGUGGGUAACCUGCCCAUAAGACUGGGAUAACUCCGGGAAACCGGGGCUAAUACCGGAUAACAUUUUGAACCGCAGGGUUCGAAAUAGAAAGGCGGCUUCGGCUGUCACUUAUGGAAGGACCCGCGUCGCAAUAUCUAGUUGGUGAGGUAACGGCUCACCAAGGCAACGAUGCGUAACCAACCUGAGAGGGUGAUCGGCCACACUGGGACUGAGACACGGCCCAGACUCCUACGGGAGGCAGCAAUAGGGAAUCUUCCGCAAUGGACGAAAGUCUGACGGAGCAACGCCGCGUGAGUGAUGAAGGCUUUCGGGUCGUAAAACUCUGUUGUUAGGGAAGAACAAGUGCUAGUUGAAUAAGCUGGCACCUUGACGGUACCU